This 71-nucleotide transfer RNA is filed under the name methanogenic archaeon ISO4-H5. It matches the Rfam family "tRNA". From Rfam's summary of the family: Transfer RNA (tRNA) molecules are approximately 80 nucleotides in length. Their secondary structure includes four short double-helical elements and three loops (D, anti-codon, and T loops). Lineage: Archaea; Methanobacteriati; Thermoplasmatota; Thermoplasmata. The record is from Rfam by way of RNAcentral.
GUCGGGGUAUCACAGCGGCUAUGAGCGGGACUGCAGAUCCUGAUAUGGGGGUUCGACUCCCUCCCCCGACU